Odocoileus virginianus texanus is the source of this 454-nucleotide long non-coding RNA. RefSeq lists it as uncharacterized. Lineage: Eukaryota; Metazoa; Chordata; Mammalia; Artiodactyla; Cervidae. The record is from RefSeq and is a predicted model, not a curated record.
CUGCUUCUCCUUAUGAGGCUGAUGUACCAGAGGUGGUUGCCGUGGGCCUGGCAGCUCUCAGGGCACAUUCCAUGCCCUGGAGAAGCAUCUCCGGGAGGCUCCCCCAUCCUCUAUCUACUGGACCCCGCAACAUCUCUGCAAGUUCUGCUCUGGUUGAAGGCAGAGAUGGACUGGGAAUCUGGAGAUCUGCCCCUUUGGCUUUCUGUCUCCUUAAGGCUCCUCUAUGAAACUCCCAUAGAAGCCUGUGUGAACGUCACUGGUGUGGAAAGUCUCGAAGAUUCAUUACAAGAAGCUGCUGUCUGAGAAAUGAAGCCAGGACUGGGGAGAGAUGGCCUACUGGAUCAGCCCCAGAAGAGAGAUGGCUCUGUCAUUCACUGAGAAAGGAGAUGAAGAAGAGGGAUGAAGCAGAGGAAGAAGAUGGAGAGGAGGAUGAGGAAGGCCAUGAGGAGAAGGA